This 1460-nucleotide ribosomal RNA is filed under the name Lactiplantibacillus plantarum. Its description in RNAcentral is "bacterial SSU rRNA". It matches the Rfam family "Bacterial small subunit ribosomal RNA". The record is from RNAcentral. Lineage: Bacteria; Bacillati; Bacillota; Bacilli; Lactobacillales; Lactobacillaceae. RNAcentral also lists the same sequence under 1 other name.
GCAAGUCGAACGAACUCUGGUAUUGAUUGGUGCUUGCAUCAUGAUUUACAUUUGAGUGAGUGGCGAACUGGUGAGUAACACGUGGGAAACCUGCCCAGAAGCGGGGGAUAACACCUGGAAACAGAUGCUAAUACCGCAUAACAACUUGGACCGCAUGGUCCGAGUUUGAAAGAUGGCUUCGGCUAUCACUUUUGGAUGGUCCCGCGGCGUAUUAGCUAGAUGGUGAGGUAACGGCUCACCAUGGCAAUGAUACGUAGCCGACCUGAGAGGGUAAUCGGCCACAUUGGGACUGAGACACGGCCCAAACUCCUACGGGAGGCAGCAGUAGGGAAUCUUCCACAAUGGACGAAAGUCUGAUGGAGCAACGCCGCGUGAGUGAAGAAGGGUUUCGGCUCGUAAAACUCUGUUGUUAAAGAAGAACAUAUCUGAGAGUAACUGUUCAGGUAUUGACGGUAUUUAACCAGAAAGCCACGGCUAACUACGUGCCAGCAGCCGCGGUAAUACGUAGGUGGCAAGCGUUGUCCGGAUUUAUUGGGCGUAAAGCGAGCGCAGGCGGUUUUUUAAGUCUGAUGUGAAAGCCUUCGGCUCAACCGAAGAAGUGCAUCGGAAACUGGGAAACUUGAGUGCAGAAGAGGACAGUGGAACUCCAUGUGUAGCGGUGAAAUGCGUAGAUAUAUGGAAGAACACCAGUGGCGAAGGCGGCUGUCUGGUCUGUAACUGACGCUGAGGCUCGAAAGUAUGGGUAGCAAACAGGAUUAGAUACCCUGGUAGUCCAUACCGUAAACGAUGAAUGCUAAGUGUUGGAGGGUUUCCGCCCUUCAGUGCUGCAGCUAACGCAUUAAGCAUUCCGCCUGGGGAGUACGGCCGCAAGGCUGAAACUCAAAGGAAUUGACGGGGGCCCGCACAAGCGGUGGAGCAUGUGGUUUAAUUCGAAGCUACGCGAAGAACCUUACCAGGUCUUGACAUACUAUGCAAAUCUAAGAGAUUAGACGUUCCCUUCGGGGACAUGGAUACAGGUGGUGCAUGGUUGUCGUCAGCUCGUGUCGUGAGAUGUUGGGUUAAGUCCCGCAACGAGCGCAACCCUUAUUAUCAGUUGCCAGCAUUAAGUUGGGCACUCUGGUGAGACUGCCGGUGACAAACCGGAGGAAGGUGGGGAUGACGUCAAAUCAUCAUGCCCCUUAUGACCUGGGCUACACACGUGCUACAAUGGAUGGUACAACGAGUUGCGAACUCGCGAGAGUAAGCUAAUCUCUUAAAGCCAUUCUCAGUUCGGAUUGUAGGCUGCAACUCGCCUACAUGAAGUCGGAAUCGCUAGUAAUCGCGGAUCAGCAUGCCGCGGUGAAUACGUUCCCGGGCCUUGUACACACCGCCCGUCACACCAUGAGAGUUUGUAACACCCAAAGUCGGUGGGGUAACCUUUUAGGAACCAGCCGCCUAAGGUGGGACAGAUGAUUAGGGUG